UCUUUUCUCAAGGAGGAAGAUCUGACGGUACUUGAGGAAUAAGCCACGGCUAAUUCCGUGCCAGCAGCCGCGGUAAUACGGGAGUGGCAAGCGUUAUCCGGAAUUAUUGGGCGUAAAGCGUCCGCAGGCGGCCUUUCAAGUCUGCUGUUAAAGCGUGGAGCUUAACUCCAUCAUGGCAGUGGAAACUGUUAGGCUUGAGUAUAGUAGGGGUAGAGGGAAUUCCCAGUGAAGCGGUGAAAUGCGUAGAUAUUGGAAAGAACACCAGUGGCGAAGGCGCUCUGCUGGGCCAUUACUGACGCUCAAAGACGAAAGCCAGGGUAGCAAAUGGGAUUAGAUA
Molecule: ribosomal RNA, 337 nt
Filed under: uncultured Prochlorococcus sp.
Lineage: Bacteria; Bacillati; Cyanobacteriota; Cyanophyceae; Synechococcales; Prochlorococcaceae
Description: bacterial SSU rRNA
Rfam family: Bacterial small subunit ribosomal RNA
Source: RNAcentral